Molecule: ribosomal RNA, 253 nt
Filed under: uncultured bacterium
Lineage: Bacteria
Description: partial 16S ribosomal RNA
Rfam family: Bacterial small subunit ribosomal RNA
Source: RNAcentral
UACGAGUGCCCCAAGCGUUAUCCGGAAUUAUUGGGCGUAAAGGGUGUGUAGGUGGUUGUGUUAGUCUUCUGUCAAAUUCUUCGGCUUAACCGGGGUCCUGCAGAGGAAACGGCACGACUAGAGGAUGCGAGGGGUGAAUGGAACUCAUGGAGUAGGGGUGAAAUCCGUUGAUAUCAUGGGGAACACCGAAAGCGAAGGCAAUUCACUGGCGCAUUCCUGACACUGAAACACGAAAGCGUGGGUAGCGAACGGG